GAUGAACGCUGGCGGCGUGCCUAAUACAUGCAAGUCGAGCGAACAGACGAGGAGCUUGCUCCUCUGACGUUAGCGGCGGACGGGUGAGUAACACGUGGAUAACCUACCUAUAAGACUGGGAUAACUUCGGGAAACCGGAGCUAAUACCGGAUAAUAUAUUGAACCGCAUGGUUCAAUAGUGAAAGACGGUUUUGCUGUCACUUAUAGAUGGAUCCGCGCCGCAUUAGCUAGUUGGUAAGGUAACGGCUUACCAAGGCAACGAUGCGUAGCCGACCUGAGAGGGGGAUCGGCCACUCUGGAACUGAGACACGGUCCAGACUCCUACGGGAGGCAGCAGUAGGGAAUCUUCCGCAAUGGGCGAAAGCUUGACGGAGCAACGCCGCGUGGGUGAUGAAGGGCUUCGGAUCGUAAAACGCUGUUAUUAGGGAAGAACAAAUGUGUAAGUAACUAUGCACGUCUUGACGGUACCUAAUCAGAAAGCCACGGCUAACUACGU
RNAcentral lists this ribosomal RNA (496 nucleotides) under uncultured bacterium. Its description in RNAcentral is "partial 16S ribosomal RNA". It matches the Rfam family "Bacterial small subunit ribosomal RNA", at positions 28 to 506 of the family's 1533-position model. The record is from RNAcentral.